AGAUUCGAAACUUCAGGUCACACCGUGGCAUUGACCUCCAGGGUAGAACAUUAAAAUGCUGAAAAUAAGAGCAGCAUAAAAGCAUCCCACGCACCCAGGGGAUUUUUCUUUUUAAGGACUGAGUGAAGAAAGAGGCAAGAAAGAGCAGAGAGAGAUUCCACGGGGCACCAGAGGCCUGGUGUGGGGGGCUAAGUAGUGGAAGCCCAAACCUAACUUAACGUGUCGCCUGGGACAUCUGUGGCCCCCGUGGAUGUUAUCUUUGUCGCGAGCUUACCUUGUUCUGCACCCAGGAACUCCGAUCCGUUGGAAGCUUUCCUCGCCCCAAAGUGAUAAAUACGGCCUGGGUAAGCUGCGCCAAGGGGCAAAGCCAAGUGCAAUUCCACCCAGAAUUCUGGCAGAUUCACUGAUAGAAAUUGUUUCCAUUUGAGAAGGAUCAGGAGUCCUCGCCAGGACCAGCUGUCUCUCGGGUGUCGGAUUCCGUGACUGCCCGCAGCCUGGAGAGCGCCACCCCCCUUCUCCCCGUCCAGGGCGCGGAGAGCCGGGAGCACCCGGGUGCUGCGCCGGGACAAGCGGAGCCGCUGCCCCCUCGCGGCCAGUCCGAGCCUGCCCUCGGGGACCCGCUCCCACCUGCCUGUGCUGCUUCCGCGCCGAGCUAGAGACGGAACCCAGUCUCGGGAACUCCCGCGGGGACUGGGGACUCCCUCCUCCUCGCUCCGGGCUGGCAGGCGAGCCAGGAAAAGAAAGCAAUUCCUCGAAAGCCAUUUUGAAAGUCCUGCUGUUGGGCCAGUAUUUAGCUCAGUGGUGCCACCGCCUGCCUUGCAAGUGCAAGGUUCUGAGUUCAAUCCCUGGUACCAAAAAAAAAAAAGUCCUGCUGUUAAUCCAUAUGAAACACCCAGAGUAAAGAAUCUUCCACUAACAGUGCUUCAGUAUUGUCCUGAGGAUAACACUUUGAUACAUGAAAAUUUCUUUAAUCAUAAAAAUACUCCAUGAAGUUUUUCAAGGGACUAUGAAGGGGAAGUACUUGUAUGUAGCUCAAGACUCAACGCUCAGUAUAGAUUUGGAUAGUAUCUUAUUUCCUCUCAUAAAAAACUGAGCUCUAGACAAUAAGAACGGGAGCCUAUGACAGCUCUAGCAGAGAGGGUUGGUUCUCUAUUCCAAUUUCUGUUCUCCUCCACCAUACAAGACAAUCUCUGACUUUUAGUUUUGAAGCCAGGUGUGAUUAUGUGUCAAAGUUCUGAAUACCUGGCGUGGAAGCUUUGUACUGUCACCCUAGCUGUGAUGAUUAGUCACGAUUGUUGGCUUGAUUGGAUUGAGAAUGCCUAGGAAAUGAUUGAAGCACACUUCUGGAUAUGUGAUGGUAUCUCUGGAAAUAAUUGGCACGUGGGUCAGUAAACUGAUGGGGGAGACCCACCCUGGAUGUGGGUGGCACCAUUCAAUAGGCUGGAGCCCCAGAUGGAGUGAAAGCCCAAGGAGGAAGCAUCCUCCCUUCUCUCUUUCCCAGCUGCCAUGACCUUCUGCCUCACUUCAGGCCCACAGCAAUGGAACCAGCUGACCACGUACUGAAACUUCUGAAACCAUGAUUUAAAAUAAACCUUUUCUUUUAAAAAUUGUUUUUCUCAUGUAUUUUGUCACAAUGAUG
Molecule: long non-coding RNA, 1639 nt
Organism: Heterocephalus glaber (naked mole-rat)
Lineage: Eukaryota; Metazoa; Chordata; Mammalia; Rodentia; Bathyergidae
Source: Ensembl